Molecule: ribosomal RNA, 460 nt
Filed under: uncultured ammonia-oxidizing beta proteobacterium
Lineage: Bacteria; Pseudomonadati; Pseudomonadota; Betaproteobacteria
Description: bacterial SSU rRNA
Rfam family: Bacterial small subunit ribosomal RNA
Source: RNAcentral
AAGCAGGGGAUCGUAAGACCUUGCGCUUUUGGAGUGGCCGAUGCCUGAUUAGCUAGUUGGUGGGGUAAGGGCCUACCAAGGCGACGAUCAGUAGUUGGUCUGAGAGGACGACCAGCCACACUGGGACUGAGACACGGCCCAGACUCCUACGGGAGGCAGCAGUGGGGAAUUUUGGACAAUGGGCGCAAGCCUGAUCCAGCAAUGCCGCGUGAGUGAAGAAGGCCUUCGGGUUGUAAAGCUCUUUCAGUUGAGAAGAAAAGGUUGUGGUAAAUAAUCACAAUUCAUGACGGUAUCGACAGAAGAAGCACCGGCUAACUACGUGCCAGCAGCCGCGGUAAUACGUAGGGUGCAAGCGUUAAUCGGAAUUACUGGGCGUAAAGGGUGCGCAGGCGGCUUUGUAAGUCAGAUGUGAAAUCCCCGGGCUUAACCUGGGAAUUGCGUUUGAAACUACAAAGCUUAG